Amphimedon queenslandica is the source of this 142-nucleotide long non-coding RNA. RefSeq lists it as uncharacterized. The transcript is spliced from 2 exons. NCBI's taxonomy places the organism in Eukaryota, Metazoa, Porifera, Demospongiae, Haplosclerida, Niphatidae. The record is from RefSeq and is a predicted model, not a curated record.
UGAUUUUUAUUAGUGUGGACGAGCUAUGUCACCUAAUUUCUUAUUUACCUGGCCACAUGCUCGGGUAGGGAUCUCUUCAGUGGACCAUCUCAUGAAAGCAAUGAAAAUAGAAAAAAGUGAUGAAAAUUACGAACAAUUAAAG